UAGGAAGUGGUGUAAUGGGAACACUUGGAGUUUUGAUCUCCAUAAUAUGGGUUCGAGUCCCUUCUUUCUAA
This 71-nucleotide transfer RNA is filed under the name Leiocassis longirostris (Chinese longsnout catfish). Its description in RNAcentral is "tRNA-Gln". It matches the Rfam family "tRNA". From Rfam's summary of the family: Transfer RNA (tRNA) molecules are approximately 80 nucleotides in length. Their secondary structure includes four short double-helical elements and three loops (D, anti-codon, and T loops). Lineage: Eukaryota; Metazoa; Chordata; Actinopteri; Siluriformes; Bagridae. RNAcentral also lists the same sequence under 6 other names. The record is from RNAcentral.